Molecule: transfer RNA, 557 nt
Filed under: Vibrio fluvialis
Lineage: Bacteria; Pseudomonadati; Pseudomonadota; Gammaproteobacteria; Vibrionales; Vibrionaceae
Description: partial 16S-23S ribosomal RNA intergenic spacer
Rfam family: tRNA (bases 71-144)
Source: RNAcentral
CCUUAUACGAAUGAUUAUUGCGAUGAGUGUUCACACAGAUUGAUGGUUUAUACGUUUUAGAGACGAUACUGGGUCUGUAGCUCAGGUGGUUAGAGCGUUCGCCUGAUAAGCGAGAGGUCGGUGGUUCGAGUCCACUCAGACCCACCAAUCUUCCUCCCAGAGGAUUGGCACACAGUAUCAACACCUGAUGGGGCUAUAGCUCAGCUGGGAGAGCGCCUGCCUUGCACGCAGGAGGUCAGCAGUUCGAUCCUGCUUAGCUCCACCAUCUUUAAGCACAUUUGCUUAAGUGUUCUUAAACAUGGUUUUCAGUAGAAAAUCUGCUCUUUAACAAUUUGGAAAGCUGACAAAACAAUCUUUUAAAAGAUUGUUUGUAAAGUUCUCAAUGUAUUCCUGAAUGGAAUACACCAACAAACACAUUCAAGUGUGCUUGGUAUCGAAGCUUACUGAUUCAGUAAGUCUUCAAAUUGAGUCCGGCAAAAUCAGUCACACACUCAUGAAAAAUAAAUGUGUGACACCUAGGUUGUUUAACAACAACCCGAAACUCCUUCGGGUUGUAU